CGGUGAUCAUGGCGAGCGGGAAACGCCCGGCUCCAUUCCGAACCCGGAAGCUAAGCUGCUCAGCGCCGAUGGUACUGCAGGGGGGACCCUGUGGGAGAGUAGGACGUCGCCGGACU
This 116-nucleotide ribosomal RNA is filed under the name Micropruina glycogenica. The record is from RNAcentral. Lineage: Bacteria; Bacillati; Actinomycetota; Actinomycetes; Propionibacteriales; Nocardioidaceae.